This 434-nucleotide ribosomal RNA is filed under the name uncultured Lachnospiraceae bacterium. Its description in RNAcentral is "partial 16S ribosomal RNA". It matches the Rfam family "Bacterial small subunit ribosomal RNA", at positions 341 to 792 of the family's 1533-position model. Lineage: Bacteria; Bacillati; Bacillota; Clostridia; Lachnospirales; Lachnospiraceae. The record is from RNAcentral.
ACGGAAGGCAGCAGUGGGGAAUAUUGCACAAUGGGGGAAACCCUGAUGCAGCGACGCCGCGUGAGUGAUGAAGUAUUUCGGUAUGUAAAGCUCUAUCAGCAGGAAAGAUAAUGACGGUACCUGACUAAGAAGCACCGGCUAAAUACGUGCCAGCAGCCGCGGUAAUACGUAUGGUGCAAGCGUUAUCCGGAUUUACUGGGUGUAAAGGGAGCGCAGACGGCAUGGCAAGCCAGAUGUGAAAGGCAGGGGCUCAACUCCUGGACUGCAUUUGGAACUGUCAAGCUAGAGUAUCGGAGAGGUAAGUGGAAUUCCCAGUGUAGCGGUGAAAUGCGUAGAGAUUGGGAGGAACACCAGUGGCGAAGGCGACUUACUGGGCCGUAACUGACGCUGAGGCGCGAAAGCGUGGGGAGCGAACAGGAUUAGAUACCCUGGUA